This 581-nucleotide ribosomal RNA is filed under the name uncultured bacterium. RNAcentral describes it as "partial 16S ribosomal RNA". It matches the Rfam family "Bacterial small subunit ribosomal RNA", at positions 355 to 932 of the family's 1533-position model. The record is from RNAcentral.
UGGGGAAUUUUGGACAAUGGGCGAAAGCCUGAUCCAGCAAUGCCGCGUGUGUGAAGAAGGCCUUCGGGUUGUAAAGCACUUUUGUCCGGAAAGAAAUCCUUGGCUCUAAUACAGUCGGGGGAUGACGGUACCGGAAGAAUAAGCACCGGCUAACUACGUGCCAGCAGCCGCGGUAAUACGUAGGGUGCAAGCGUUAAUCGGAAUUACUGGGCGUAAAGCGUGCGCAGGCGGUUUGCUAAGACCGAUGUGAAAUCCCCGGGCUCAACCUGGGAACUGCAUUGGUGACUGGCAGGCUAGAGUAUGGCAGAGGGGGGUAGAAUUCCACGUGUAGCAGUGAAAUGCGUAGAGAUGUGGAGGAAUACCGAUGGCGAAGGCAGCCCCCUGGGCCAAUACUGACGCUCAUGCACGAAAGCGUGGGGAGCAAACAGGAUUAGAUACCCUGGUAGUCCACGCCCUAAACGAUGUCAACUAGUUGUUGGGGAUUCAUUUCCUUAGUAACGUAGCUAACGCGUGAAGUUGACCGCCUGGGGAGUACGGUCGCAAGAUUAAAACUUCAAAUGGAAUUGACGGGGUCAUAGCUG